RNAcentral lists this ribosomal RNA (253 nucleotides) under uncultured bacterium. RNAcentral describes it as "partial 16S ribosomal RNA". It matches the Rfam family "Bacterial small subunit ribosomal RNA", at positions 524 to 776 of the family's 1533-position model. The record is from RNAcentral.
GACGGAGGAUGCAAGCGUUAUCCGGAAUUAUUGGGCGUAAAGCGUCCGUAGGUGGUUUAGUAAGUCUGCUGUUAAAGCGCGGGGCUUAACUCCGUAUCGGCAGUGGAAACUACUAGACUAGAGUGUGGUAGGGGUAGAGGGAAUUCCCAGUGUAGCGGUGAAAUGCGUAGAUAUUGGGAAGAACACCGGUGGCGAAGGCGGCUACCUGGACCGGUACUGACGCUGAUGCGCGAAAGCUAGGGUAGCAAACAGG